UUAUAACUUUUUAUUCUUUUUAUUUUUUAAUAUUUUUUUUAACUUUAUUUAAUUAUUUAUUUUUACGGAAUUGAUCCGUCGUAACACGUUGGCGCUAUAUCUGUACGCUUUAAGUGAAUUGGUUACGUAUUUCUAACAGCUUGAACUUUUGGAAUUAAUGGUUAGCGCCAAGGAUCCGACGAGCGGUAUCAAAGCCAGAAGUCACCGGCUCGAUUUUCGCAUGCUGCAAAUAUGUGCAGGUGAGUCAUGUUCGAAGUGGCGUGAGGCUGCAGAUUGGGCCAAGUCACAGUCGAGACUCUGCGCAAGUAUAAUAAUAAGGUUAAGGUGCAAAUAAGUAUGGUGGCAAAUUAACGUACAAGUACUAUAGGCUAAUUGUACGUAAGGUCAAUCUAUUGCCACGUAUCAUGGCGGCGAAAGAAGCUCCAUAGGCCAAAGCACGUUUCAAGAGGACUUAGGCUUCGUUUGGGAUUGCGGGGAGAUUGCGUUACGUGCGGUGAGAAAGUACGUUGGAAAAAUGCUCUGUUUGUUUCCGUACGUAAUAUUGCGUUCCGCAUAUCGCGAUGAGUCGGUUAUGAUAUAUUUUCUGCGGUCCCACCGGAGAACGCAAAAGCAUAUCCUUAUAUACUUUUUCCUCAACUCAAUUUUAUCUAAUAGCGUUAGAUAGACCUAAAUACCAAACUAAGCCUUAUACUAGGAUUCUAAUGGUAGUGAAUGUGCGAGGACUAUAGGCUGAUUAAUAAAUUGCACGU
This 749-nucleotide long non-coding RNA is filed under the name Ananas comosus (pineapple). Its description in RNAcentral is "long non-coding RNA (ACOM_LNC012647)". Lineage: Eukaryota; Viridiplantae; Streptophyta; Magnoliopsida; Poales; Bromeliaceae. The record is from RNAcentral.